This 492-nucleotide ribosomal RNA is filed under the name uncultured bacterium. RNAcentral describes it as "partial 16S ribosomal RNA". It matches the Rfam family "Bacterial small subunit ribosomal RNA", at positions 29 to 507 of the family's 1533-position model. The record is from RNAcentral.
AGUGAACGCUGGCGGUAGGCCUAACACAUGCAAGUCGAACGGCAGCACAGUAAGAGCUUGCUCUUACGGGUGGCGAGUGGCGGACGGGUGAGGAAUACAUCGGAAUCUACUUUUUCGUGGGGGAUAACGUAGGGAAACUUACGCUAAUACCGCAUACGACCUACGGGUGAAAGCAGGGGAUCUUCGGACCUUGCGCGAUUGAAUGAGCCGAUGUCGGAUUAGCUAGUUGGCGGGGUAAAGGCCCACCAAGGCGACGAUCCGUAGCUGGUCUGAGAGGAUGAUAAGCCACACUGGAACGGAGACACGGUCAAGACUCCUACGGGAGGCAGCAGUGGGGAAUAUUGGACAAUGGGCGCAAGCCUGAUCCAGCCAUACCGCGUGGGUGAAGAAGGCCUUCGGGUUGUAAAGCCCUUUUGUUGGGAAAGAAAAGCAGCAGGUUAAUACCCCGCUGUUCUGACGGUACCCAAAGAAUAAGCACCGGCUAACUUCGUG